This 166-nucleotide non-coding RNA is filed under the name Sphaerobolus stellatus SS14. RNAcentral describes it as "Eukaryotic large subunit ribosomal RNA". It matches the Rfam family "Eukaryotic large subunit ribosomal RNA", at positions 2832 to 2937 of the family's 3401-position model. Lineage: Eukaryota; Fungi; Basidiomycota; Agaricomycetes; Geastrales; Sphaerobolaceae. The record is from Rfam by way of RNAcentral.
GACUUGUGGCAGCCAAGCGUUCAUAGCGACAUUGCUUUUUGAUCCUUUGAUGUCGGCUCUUCCUAUCGUACCGAAGCAGAAUUCGGUGAGCGUUGGAUUGUUCUGCUUCCUCCGUUCUUCGCAUUUCCACUCAGCUAUAACUUGGAGGGUAUGAAAUUGUCUUAUU